RNAcentral lists this unclassified non-coding RNA (380 nucleotides) under Hevea brasiliensis (rubber tree). The record is from RNAcentral. Lineage: Eukaryota; Viridiplantae; Streptophyta; Magnoliopsida; Malpighiales; Euphorbiaceae.
GAUUAUCUUAAAUUUUAUUCUAUUUAGUGAUAAAUAUGAAGAAAAAUUACUAGAAGGCAUCAACAGGGAUGCAAUCCUUGAACAAAAUCUAAAAGAGAAUAAAAAUAGCAAGAUAAAAUCCCUACAUCAGAAUGAAUAGUUUUAGUCCAACAAUAUAAAAUGAUGGAGCAAGUUAAUUCCUUUGUCUCAAAAGCCCUUCUAUUAGGUAUCCUUUCCAAUUUUCCUUCAAUGCCCUUCAUCUUGUGAUGCAGCAGAAGCUGUGAUGGAAAAUUUAAGGGCUUCAAAGGACCAGAGGCUGUUCCAUGAGAUUAAAUAGGCAAGCCAACUAUAUAGAUAAAACCAUUAUCACAUAGCAAUCCUAAAUAUUGCUUAGUAAUGCG